Molecule: long non-coding RNA, 9356 nt
Filed under: Mytilus galloprovincialis (Mediterranean mussel)
Lineage: Eukaryota; Metazoa; Mollusca; Bivalvia; Mytilida; Mytilidae
Source: RNAcentral
GAUCAACUGUAUAUAAGGUAGGGAAGAGUGUCGUAUAUAGUAAAGAUAUAUAUAGAAUGUCAUGUAGUAUUAUAGGGUUAUUGCAUGAAUAUUGGGGAAUAUUGUCCCGAGUAGAAUUUUAUAUUGCACGAGCUUGAAGUGCAAUAUAUGUUCUACGAGGGACAAUAUUCCCAAUAUUCAUGCAAUAACCCUUUUAUUGUAUAGCAAUAUAAUAUUUGAAAGUAAAAAUUGGUUUAAACUAAGAUUUUGUCGUCGAUGACUUCAUGAAUUUUGAAGAUUUAUUGCACUAGUGCAAUAAUAGAAUUUAUUGCACCCUAACUUUUGGUUACUUUCUGUUGGAAAUAUUAUAUUGCUAUACAAUAAAAUAUUUAUAGAAAUCUGUGCUAGUUUAUAUAUAAAUAUUAUUUGAGAUUCAUUAUCAUCAAUUUAUUUUUGGUAACCUGUGUGUAAUUUGUGUGUGUUUUUUUUCUAUUGUUGGAAAUUCCAUGAGACUUUUAGCAACCUUUUUAGCUCACCUGGUUUAUGUAUUACUGCCUAAAUUUAAGAAUAAGAAUACAUGGUAUGAUUGCCAAUGAGCAAACUCUGCACCAGAGACCAAAUGAUGUGAUUGCUUUCAAGUUCUGCAAUCAAAUUAUAAUAAUUUAUUAAUGAAAUAAAAUCCAAAGAGGUUCAAAAGGUUCUGAAACCGAUAAUUUUUAUUUUCAUCUGCCCAUAUCAAAUAUAAAUUUUAAUACAAUAAUUAUACCAAGUUUAUUUUCAAUGCUUUUUGUAUAUUUCAAUUACUUGUGUCUGAAAUUUUCCAAACCAGAAUCAAAAAUUGGCUCUUGAAAUUUAGAAGUGUUUUUGUUUUCCUUCUUUUAAGGUGGUACCGAACACUACAGGGAGAUAACUCUGUAAAGUCAGCUAAACGUUUUAAUUACGUUGUGUUGCAAAAGGAAUAUUAAGCUUCUCAAUGAUCAAAAUUGGUGUUUGACAAAUUGCUAUAUAACCAGUGUAAUUUUUUGACAAAACGGUUGGUUCAAAAUUUUUAAAAUUUUUACAUUUUUGUUAAAGUGUCAAAGUUAAUACUUUGACAAAAUUUUAUGAAAAUUAAACUAGCCAAAUUAAUUUUAGUGAAAGUGUUGGGUACCACCUUAAUAUCAGAGUUAAAAUGGUAAUUUUUCAAAAGAGAGAGAAAUUUAAUUUAUAAUUACUGUCAUGGUUGGUCAAAAUUGACAGUUUGUUUCAGAGGUUAAUGUAAUAUAUAAAGUCAAGUAUGGUUCAGUGGGAAAAUAUCUUAAUUUUGUAUGUCUCAUCAACAUGAAUGGAAAGUUCUUUAAGAAAGGUUUUAUAAUCAUCUUUCCUGGAAAAUUUUAGUGUUGCCUUAUCACAAUAGACAUUAGAGUGACAAGUUUGAAUAUUGAUUUAUUAGAAGCAAGAAAUUCCCCUCCCCACUUUUUUAAGCUUUGCAGUUCUUGCCUUUAACUUUGGGAUCUUUUAUUUUCUGUGGACUUUAUGCAUGGGUGGAAUAAUUAUGUUGUACUUCCAUAUCACUCAUAGUUUACUUAAGAACUCGUUGGAAGUACUUGAUAAAUUGCAUGCUUAUAUUGGUGAUUUUGAAUUUGUUCAAAGUUUUGAUUUUUCUACCCUGUAUACCACAUUGCCUCACAUUCUCAUUAAGAAAAAAUUCACACACCUAAUUAAAUGGGCAUUUAAAAAGUCAGAAUAUAUAUGUUCAAACUCUUUUAGGUCAUUUUUUAGUAGCGAUAAACAAAAAAACUAUGUCAAUUGGACAUGCUUUGAUACUAUAUUUGCCCUUGAAUUUUUACUAGAUAACAUUUUUGUUCGCUUGGGAUUCGUAUAUCGUCAGAUUAUCGAAUUCCAAUGGGACUUACUGUGCACCACUUAUUGCAGACCUGUUUUUGUAUUGCUAUGAGUUACAAUUUAUGACAAAUAUAAGCAAAGACCCAUCGAAACAACAUCUGAUAAACAAAUUUAAUAACACUUUUAGAUAUUUGGAUGAUAUUUUGGCUCUCAAUAAUGACGACUUCAGUAUGUAUAUUACAGAAAUUUAUCCUGUUGAACUUACUUUAAAUAAAGCUAAUACUAACAAUGACCACUGCCCUUUCCUCGAUCUUGAUAUCUAUAUCACUAAUGGAAAGCUGAAUACUAAAAUUUAUGAUAAAAGAGAUGAUUUUUCAUUUCCUAUAGUUAAUUAUCCAUUUUUAGAUGGUGACGUUCCCUUGUCACCAUCUUACGGUGUUUAUUUAUCUCAACUUGUACAUUCGCUCGUGUAUGUAACAUGUUUUAGAUUUUAAUGAGAAAAUUUAUGUAUUACUGAAAAAUUAUUACACAGGGUUUUCGAUAUCACAAACUGUCAAAACAUUUACUAAUUUUCAUCGGUAUAAGACAUCAUUUGUAAAUAUAGCUAACAUGCAGACUUCUUAUACGUUCAGGUAUUUCACAUCCAUUUUUUAUGGAAAUAUUCUUUAUAAAGCACAAAGGUGUCAGUAUUCACUCAAAAACUAACAAAUCCUUUGAAUAGACUUAUUAAGAAGGGAUAUAGUUACGAUACUGUUGUCAGGUCAUUAAAGAUUGCAUAUUUGGCGUUAAUAUUGAUUCACUUAUAGGGUCUUUGCAUCGGAACUAAACACAUUUAUUCAAAAACCAGUUGUUGAAAUACACGGGUUAUUUCUCUCAUAUUGUUAUGAUGGUAUGAUACUAAACCCCUAACGGGAAGGAUUGUGCCUGAUAUUCAUAUGAUGAAAUCAUAAUCUUUCAGUCAGUUUAAUUGAAGUCUGGAGCUGUCAUGUCAGUUAACUGCUAGUAGUCUGUUGUUAUUUAUGUAUUAUUGUCAUUUUGUUUAUUUUCUUUGGUUACAUCUUCUGACAUCAGACUCGGACUUCUCUUGAACUGAAUUUUAAUGUGUGUAUUGCUAUGCGUUUACUUUUCUACAUUGGCUAGAGGUAUAGGGGGAGGGUUGAGAUCUCAUAAACAUGUUUAACCCCGCCACAUUUUUGCGCCUGUCCCAAGUCAGGAGCCUCUGGCCUUUGUUAGUCUUGUAUUAUUUUAAUUUUAGUUUCUUGUGUACAAUUUGGAAAUUAGUAUGGCGUUCAUUAUCACUGAACUAGUAUAUAUUUGUUUAGGGGCUAGCUGAAGGACGCCUCCGGGUGCGGGAAUUUCUCGCUACAUUGAAGACCUGUUUGGUGACCUUCUGCUGUUGUUUUUUUCUAUGGUCGGGUAGUUGUCUCUUUGGCACAUUCCCCAUUUCCAUUCUCAAUUUUAUUAAACUUUCAUUGACAAAAAUAUCACAUGUUGCAAACCACCUCAUCAUCAUAUAUAUAGCACCUAGUGAAAAUUUCUGGAAAACCCAAGUUCUCUCUGGUAACUUGUUUGUGUCUUAUCAUCAUAUUUAAUCAUUUGCAAUCAAAUAUGGGAAAACAUAUAUUUAUUUAUAUUUUAUUACCAUAUAUAUCAGAUUAUUUAUCGUGUCACGCUCUAAAAUUUACUGUGUUUUGAAAUAUAAAUAUAAAUUUAAGUUAUUUUAAUAUCGCAAAAAAUAAUAUAAUGAAAUCAAGCCAAAACUUGAUAAAGUCAGUUUUAAGAUAUAAUUUUUCAGCCAUUUAUGCCAGUUAAUGGUCAGAAAUAUUCAUUUGAAGGUUGUUAGCAUAAUAUUCAUAUUUAUAAUUUAAUUUGAAAUAAGGCAAUUUGAGAGUUCUUCCUGAAGAGGAGAUUUGAGUUACCUGUGGAUUCAUUAUUAUUGCUGGGAUAUCAAUUUUUGUGGAUUUCAAGGUUUAAGGUAAAUCAUCAAUUUAAAUGUUCUUCCGAUUAAAAAUUUUCUAUAGGCAGACAUGCAGACUUGAGCAAAACAACAAACAUACAAUUUAUUCCCAAAUCCAGAAAAAUUGGUAUCCACAAAAAGGUCUAUGAAUCCACAGUAAUACCUCUCAUUAUUGAUUGGUUGUUAAUUUGUCAUUAUCUUUAUAUUUAAACAGCUGAGAAAAUUCCAUUCCUAUGACGACUGGUUAAAGGAUAGAGAUCCAAAGAAAAAACCAAACCAAAGAACAAGGGUAAGUAAAUAGUAGUUAAUUGAUUGAUGUUAAACGCCACUUUCAGCUCUAUUAUGUUUUUUCGUGGGCAGUCAGUUUUAUUGGUGUGGAAGCCGUAAUUCCUUGGAGAGAACUUCUGACCCGUGGUAGGAAAGUUAAGCAUCUUAGAGGAGUUGUAACUUAAAAAAUCAAAUUAAUGUCCAAAGUUACAUUUACUUAGGUAGUACUCCACAGUUAGAAAAUAAAAUUAAAAUUGACUCACAAAACUUUUGAUCAUCUUCUAUUCCUGGCUUUCUAAUACAUUAACCUUACUGUUUGUGUUAUACAUUUGAAUAUGUAUGUAAACAGAAUCUUCCCUAGAUUUGAUUUUUAAAAGUUAUAAGUUGAAAUAUAAUUCCUUUUAUGUGUAUCCAUGGUAACAUUCUGCAUUUAUUUACCAUAAAAUAUUGCAAAAGGGGGGGGGGGGUAAAAUGUCACAUAUUCCCCAAAAAUGUGGAUCAAACUAGAAUUUCAGUGCCCUUUAGAGAUAACUUUUCAGAGACUUUGACAUUAAUCUACCUAAUGAUCAAAUAAAAAAUGGGUGUCUUUUGCCUUUCAUUUUUCACAAAGUUCAUGCGACAAAAAGUUGGAAAAAAACAUUACAAUAUUUGCCAGACCAAUGUUUGGUAUGGAUAUGCAAAUAUGGACUGUCAAAGGGAUAACAGCCUAUAUUACAUACAUUACAUAAUCUUGAUGUUCAUAUAAAUCCAAUAUAAAGGCUGUUUUAAUCCUCAGCUAUCCAAAAAUGAAUGUUAUUGCACUCUAGCUCUCAUAUUUGAAAAAUCCCACUAGCCGUAAUGUGAAACUACACACGUAACUGUGGAGUGCUACCUUAUAUUUAAUUGAUUCUAACUUUUUAUCCAAAAAGAGAAGUGGGUCCUGAGGUUCUGCCAAUCUGCGUUUCCUUUACUAGUAUUUGAUGGGAUCCUGAUUUUGACUUAUUAAACAAAAUUACUUGAAAAAUAAUUCCUUCAUGUCAUGCUCUAUGCUCAUUUUAACAUGUGUAGGCAUUAUAUUUGUCGAUAUUUUACAUGGAGCGUCAUUAUUAUAGGUCGAAACGUAAGAAAAUACCGUAGAAAUGUUUGGCUAUUCCAGCUUCCUCCCAUGAAUUAUACACAUUACAUUUUCAUAUUUGAUAAGUUUAAAAACUAAUAGCAUGGUAAGUAUAUGAUGUUUUAAUAACAAUAUAUAAUAAAAUUAGUAAGCAGCUAAAAUAUAUACAUUUUUAGCUCACCUGGCCCGAAGGGCCAAGUGAGCUUUUCUCAUCACUUGGCGUCAGGGUUGGCAAAAACCGGUUUUAUGAGUAUUGCCCACUGUGGGAAUACUGGGAAAACCCGGUUUUACUGGGUUUACUGGUAAUACUGGCACUACUGGGUAUAUAUAAGAUACUGGACUGAAUUUAAAAGGAUUAUAAUCAAACACAAAUACAAUACAUUUAAGAUAUAUAUUUUAAUUUAUUUUCAAUUAUAAAUAAGUUUACUUGUUUGAGUCUUAUGAUACGUGCAUGUACAAAUGUAUACAUUUGAGAAGAAAUUCUAACACUCUGAGAUUUUUCUUCAAGUAAUAUAGCUUGUAUAAAGUUUUAACAAUUCAUGUAGAAAUAGCAAAUGUAAAACUCUUAUAAGUAAUUAUUCAGAUUAGAACACGAUAUGUUUAUAUACGUAUCAGCCUUUUCAUUUCUAUAAGAGUUAUGACAAGACCCUCUAGGGUGUUUGUUUAGCAUCAUAAUCAUAUAUAGCAAUUUAAUUUACAUUCCUCAUAAACACUGCAAUAAAAUGUUUAGAUUAUUGAAACAAAGCUUCAAAAUUACCAAGGAAUUGGGCAAAUCUUGCAUUUUGCCUACAUAGAAUUUAAGUGGAGAAGGAAUGAACUUGAAUUUUAAUCUGCUAGAAAUGACUCUCAAUGGUUAUAUUAUGUAUAAAAUGUGUAUAUUUAGCUAUAAUACUAUGAAACUACAACAAAAAAUUGAGAAAGGAAAUGGUGAAUAUGUCAAAGCGACACACCCGACAUAGAGCAAACAAAGCGAAGGCAACCAAUGGGUCUUCAAUGUAGCGAGAAUUCAGCACCCGUAGGUGUCCUUCAGCUGGCCCUAAACUUGCAUAAUAGUACAGUGUAAUGGCGUCAUACUAAACUCCGAAUUAACACAGAAACUAAAUUUAAAAUCAUACAAGACUAACAAGGCAGAGGCUCCUGACGGGACAGGCGCAAAAUUCUUUAUUAUUGGUGUUGAAAUAACUUAAAAAUUCAUAUUGCCCAGUAUUGCCAGUUUACUGUUCUGGAGUAUUGCCCAGCCGGAAAACCCGCCCAGUAAAACCCGGGCGGGUAAUACUUUGCCAACCUGCUUGGCUCCGUCUCGUCGUUUUACAUUUUGAACUUCUUCUAGAGAAACCCUGAAUGGAAUAAACCAACAUGGCAUGAAUGUUCUUAUGGGUCUGACCAAGUGUUGUUACUUUGUGCCAAUCCAUCUCCAGUGCGCCAGCGGGGAACUUAGUUUAACAUAGUACCUAUGAGAAUUGGUUAACCAUAGACCAUGGGAAAUGCAUACAAAUGACUUCUUUUAAAACCACUGAAUGGAAUGAAAGAAAUAUGGCAUGAAUGUUCCUUAUGAGUGUGACCAGUGUUGUUACUUUGUGCCGAUCCAUCAUCCAGAUGGCCGCCAGCGGGACUAGUUUAACAUUGGACCCUAUAGGAAAUGCUACAAUGUCUUCUUUUAGAGAACCACUGAAUGAAUGAAACCAAACUGGCAUGAUGUUCCUUAAGUGCUGACGAAGUGUGUACUUGUAGCGAUCAUCAUCCAGAUGGCUGCCAGUGGGGACUAGUUUACUAGGACCCUAUAGAAUGCAUACAAAUGUUUCUUUUAGAAACACUGUAUGGAAUGAAACGAACAUGGCAUGAAUGUUCCUUAUGAGAUGCUGCCAAGUGUUGUUAUUUGUAGCUGAUCCAUCAUCCAAGAUGGCCGCAGCAUGGGAUUAGUUUAACAUAGGGCCUAAGGGAAUUAUACAAAUGUCUUCUUUUAGAGAACUUGAAUGAAUGAAACCAAACUGCAUGAAUGUUCCUUAUUAGGUGCUGACCAAUGUUGUACUUUGUAGCCAAUCCUCAUCCAAGAUGGCGCCAGCUGGGGAUUAGUUAAAUAGGACCCUAUGGGAAUAUAUCAAAUGUCUUCUUUAGAGAGCCUGAACGGAAUGAACAACAGGCAUGCAUGUUCCUUAGAUGUGCUGACAAGUGUUAUUACUUUGUAGUCGAUCCAACAUCCAAGAUGGCCGCCAGCAUGGGGACUUAGUUUACAUAGGACCCUAUGGGAAAUGCAUACAAAUGACUUCUUUUAGAGAACCCUGAAUGGAAUAAAAACAAAAUAGCUUGAAUGUCCUUAUGAGGUGCUGACAGUGUUGUUACUUUGUAGCCGUCUUAUCCAGAUGGCUGCCAGCGGGGACUUAGUUUAACAUAGAACCCUACGGGAAAUACAUACAAAUGUCUUCUUUUAGUGAACACUAAAUGGAUGACCAAACAUAGCAUGAAUGUUCUUAAUGAGAUACUGACCAAGUGUUGUUACUUUUUGCCAUUGCAACAUCCAAGAUGGCCCCGUGGGGGGACUUAGUUUAACAUAGGACCCUAUGGAAAUUAAAAAGUCUUCUUCUAAAAGACCACUGAAUUGAAUGAAAUCAAACAUAGCAUGAAUUUUCCUUUCGUUAUGAGGUGCUGGCCAAGUGUUGUUACUUUUAGCCAAAUUUUAUAUUUUUUUAUAUGAUUUCAAAAACCCAAGUAGAAUCAGGUGAGUGAUACAGGCUCUUGAGAGCCUCUAGUAAAAGAGAUACAAUGAAAAUAACAAGAAUGCAAGCAGUUAGUUUGUGUGCAUGUAUUAAACAUAUUUUAAGAUAAUUUGAACACAGCUUUGUUUACAAGGUGUAAUAAGGAUGUCAUAUUAGAAUUGCCUUUUUUUUAAGUAAAGGUAAUUUUGCAUAUUGAAUGACAAAAAGAGCAAAUAAGUUCAUUUACAAUUUUGCUUUUACAGAGAGCCAGAAAAAGGCUUAAAAUGAAGUCAGAUAAGCCAAAGACGAUCAGUAAAAAACAACAACUAGCAGAACAGCACAGGAGGGAAAAGGUAUUGUAUAAAGUCAGUAUGUAAUUGCAUCCAUAUCAACGAGACCCAAAUGUUUUAAAUUUGUCAUUAUGUUGCUUUGUUAUCUACUUUAUUUCGGACAGAUUCAAUUUAAAAGUUUAAAUAAGUUCAACUUGUAAACAAAUUUGAUGCAUUAGCUAUCAGCAUAAUUGAAAAAAAAAUAAAAAUGUUUUAUUCUUAUUUGAGGAAAAUGGAGGUCUUUCUGGGAAAUACAAAUUUCAUUUAACCCUGAAGAUUAUUCCGAGGUACAUUAGUAUAUGAACCUUUCCAUGCAUAUUGUUUUAUUGUACAAUACUUCAAAAGAAAAUUGUUGUAAUUUUGUGUGCAAAUUCAUAAAAAAGAACUUAGUCUUUGGAUUGUGACUAGUUUUAGCAAUACAAGUGUUUGUAACCCCAUAUACUUGCUAUAUCAUGCAGUCCAUCUGGGUAUCUUUACUGCUAUGAAGCAGAGAAUGUAUAUCUUGACUUUCUUUUACUUCAGAUGUCCCAACCCAUAUAGAGCUCAAGUAAACUAAACCUAAUAUUUUUAGCUCUGUGUACAGGCCUCAUUUUGACUUUGAGAUGAAAACCAGCAAUAAAAGCGCAUAUAAAACACGUCUUUUCUUGAAAUCUUGUGGCCAAAAGGAGUGUGCUGACAAAGUUUCAGUGCAGAUUUUACAAGCUUGAAUACUCUGCAUGAAAAUGGAACAAAUGAAAUAUAUAAAUGUGCCUGUCCAAUCUGAGCCACACAGUAUUAGAAUUAUAUACAUUUUUUAGGAAAUGAAGGAAAUUUCUGAAGAAUUAAAAAACAAACUAAAGAAGAAUGAAACUACAAAUCAAAAGUAAGUGUUGCAUGCUAUAUUCCAUUUCUCUUUUGUUGGUAAAUAGAGUUAUAACCAUUGCCGCUGGAUCUGAUUAUCUUUUAAUACCAUACUGACUAGGUGCUUAAUAGUUAUAUCAGUCUUAAGUCCUUCCUUCAUGAACUUGAUUCCUUUUACAAAUUAAGAUCGAGAAUAGAACCUAAUUGGCUAAAUUACAGUUCAACCUGGCAUCAUGCACUAUCGAUUGCGAGGAACAUUUAAUUGGUAACUUCCUCACUUCCUUGGUACAAUUACAUAAAACUAUUGCAAACAGACAGAUUAACCAAGUAAACAUAGUUAUCUUUGUUACCUUUUAAGUUUAUUUUAGCACCAC